AACGAACGCUGGCGGCAGGCUUAACACAUGCAAGUCGAGCGCCCCGCAAGGGGAGCGGCAGCCGGGUGAGUAACGCGUAGGAACGUACCUUUUGGUUCGGAACAACUCCGGGAAACUGGAGCUAAUACCGGAUAAGCCCUAACGGGGAAAGAUUUAUCGCCGAAAGAUCGGCCCGCGUCUGAUUAGCUAGUUGGUGAGGUAACGGCUCACCAAGGCGACGAUCAGUAGCUGGUCUGAGAGGAUGAUCAGCCACACUGGGACUGAGACACGGCCCAGACUCCUACGGGAGGCAGCAGUGGGGAAUAUUGGACAAUGGGCGCAAGCCUGAUCCAGCCAUGCCGCGUGAGUGAUGAAGGCCUUAGGGUUGUAAAGCUCUUUUGUCCGGGAAGAUAAUGACUGUACCGGAAGAAUAAGCCCCGGCUAACUUCGUG
This 431-nucleotide ribosomal RNA is filed under the name uncultured bacterium. RNAcentral's name for it is "partial 16S ribosomal RNA". It matches the Rfam family "Bacterial small subunit ribosomal RNA", at positions 29 to 507 of the family's 1533-position model. The record is from RNAcentral.